Molecule: ribosomal RNA, 460 nt
Filed under: uncultured bacterium
Lineage: Bacteria
Description: partial 16S ribosomal RNA
Rfam family: Bacterial small subunit ribosomal RNA
Source: RNAcentral
CCUACGGGAGUCUGCAGUGAGGAAUAUUUGUCCAUGGGCGCGAGCCUGAACCAGCCAAGUAGCGUGAAGGAUGACUGCCCUACGGGUUGUAAACUUCUUUUAUAAAGGAAUAAAUUGAGGCACGGGUGCCUUAUUGUAUGUACUUUAUGAAUAAGGAUCGGCUAACUCCGUGCCAGCUGCCGAGGUAAUACGGAGGAUCCGAGCGUUAACCGGAUUUAUUGGGGUUAAAGGGAGCGUAGAUGGGUUGGUAAGUUAGUUGUGAAAUUUUGCGGCUCAACCGUAAUAUUGCAAUUGAUACUGGCAGCCUUGAGUACAGUUGAGGUAGGCGGAAUUCGUGGUGUAGCGGUGAAAUGCUUAGAUAUCACGAAGAACUCCGAUUGCGAAGGCAGCUUACUAAACUGCCACUGACAUUGAUGCUCGAAAGUGUGGGUAUCAAACAGGAUUAGAUACCCCUGUAGUC